AUCAUGGUGGCUCUACAUUGAACUCUCUCCAGUGUGUCCAGCGUGAACAUACAGUGAAGACAAGAGGAGGUCAGCUGGUGUGUACUUGGAGACAUUUUGGUCAGCAGACGUAUGAUCUACACAUACACGUACACACAUAUACACAAGAUUUAAUUGUCUCCAGCAGAGAAGGCAGAAUUCCAUGCUGUCAUGCCCUCUUAUAACAAUACUCAAUCCAGUAUAAUAAUUCAUCACUGCUGCUGAGGACCACCUUCCAGCUUCUGUAACUGCAAUAUAACACUGUACUUGCCUUGACGUUUUCAUGCCUUGUUAGCUUACUAUUUAAAGGAAAUGGAAUAAUAAACUGGAAUACAAUUUCAUCUUCACAAUUCAGUUUCUUUUCACCUUACCUUUAAAUUCUCCAGUGGCUUGUUCCUUCAUGUAUUCCCUGAAACAAUAUUUUUUUUGAUAACACUGAAAAGCUUAAAGUUGUUGGAAGAGUUUA
Cygnus olor (mute swan) is the source of this 484-nucleotide long non-coding RNA. RefSeq lists it as uncharacterized. The record is from RefSeq and is a predicted model, not a curated record. The transcript is spliced from 4 exons. NCBI's taxonomy places the organism in Eukaryota, Metazoa, Chordata, Aves, Anseriformes, Anatidae.